GAUGAAGAACGUAGCGAAAUGCGAUAAGUAAUGCGAAUUGCAGAAUUCAGUGAAUCAUCGAAUCUUUGAACGCACAUUGCGCCCCUUGGUAUUCCGAGGGGCAUGCCUGUUCGAGCGUCAUUAUAACCCUCAAGCUCAGCUUGGUGUUGGGGCCUGCUGCACUGGCAGCCCUUAAAAUCAGUGGCGGCGCCAUCUGGCUCUAAGCGUAGUAAUUCUUCUCGCUAUGGAGUCCUGGUGGAUGCUUGCCAUCAACCCCCAAUUUUUCUAUGGUUGACCUCGGAUCAGGUAGGGAUACCCGCUGAACUUAAGCAUAUCAAUAAGCGGAGGA
RNAcentral lists this unclassified non-coding RNA (328 nucleotides) under soil metagenome. Its description in RNAcentral is "partial contains 5.8S ribosomal RNA, internal transcribed spacer 2, and large subunit ribosomal RNA". The stretch from base 1 to 120 matches the Rfam family "5.8S ribosomal RNA", at positions 35 to 154 of the family's 154-position model. The record is from RNAcentral.